This 451-nucleotide ribosomal RNA is filed under the name uncultured bacterium. Its description in RNAcentral is "partial 16S ribosomal RNA". It matches the Rfam family "Bacterial small subunit ribosomal RNA", at positions 354 to 796 of the family's 1533-position model. The record is from RNAcentral.
GUGGGGAAUAUUGGACAAUGGGGGGAACCCUGAUCCAGCCAUGCCGCGUGUGUGAAGAAGGCCUUUUGGUUGUAAAGCACUUUAAGCGAGGAGGAGGCUACCGAGAUUAAUACUCUUGGAUAGUGGGCGUUACUCGCAGAAUAAGCACCGGCUAACUCUGUGCCAGCAGCCGCGGUAAUACAGAGGGUGCAAGCGUUAAUCGGAUUUACUGGGCGUAAAGCGCGCGUAGGUGGCCAAUUAAGUCAAAUGUGAAAUCCCCGAGCUUAACUUGGGAAUUGCAUUCGAUACUGGUUGGCUAGAGUAUGGGAGAGGAUGGUAGAAUUCCAGGUGUAGCGGUGAAAUGCGUAGAGAUCUGGAGGAAUACCGAUGGCGAAGGCAGCCAUCUGGCCUAAUACUGACACUGAGGUGCGAAAGCAUGGGGAGCAAACAGGAUUAGAAACCCUUGUAGUCC